Molecule: long non-coding RNA, 1980 nt
Organism: Melospiza melodia melodia
Lineage: Eukaryota; Metazoa; Chordata; Aves; Passeriformes; Passerellidae
Exons: 3
Source: RefSeq, a predicted model, not a curated record
UUUAUUCUAACUACUGCAUUCAGUUAGCAUCUUCUUCCUCCAGGGUUCCCUGUGCCUCAUCAGCUCACCAUCGGUCUCAGCUCGGUCAUCUCCUUUUGCAUUCUCUCAGUCCUUGCAGCCAUUUUCCUUGCCAAGAGAUUUCUGUUCCUGUUGUGUCCCCGUUGUCUGUCCUGUCCUAUGUCACGGCUCUCAGCACACAUUUGUGCCGGGGCUGCUCUGCCCUGCCGCACAGCCUGGUGUGAUAGGAGAGGGCCCAGGGACUUGGAAUGUGUAAUGUGGGGUGUAGUUGGACUCUAGAUGGGAUUUGUAGAUGGACACAUCAUAUCUGGAGCUCUUCAGUUAUCCUGCAACAGUGUGACUCUUGUCCUAACUUUUUUUUCAGAUUGAGAUGGAUUAAAUCUGUGCCAGAGGGCCCAUCCCAGGUGUGGGGAUUCUCCCAAGCAGGAAGUCAAUCUGGAUGCCAGCAGUCAAGGUGGGCAGCGGGGAGAAGUGGUUGUUAUUGCUCAGCUCUGAAGCACAACAAUUUUUCAGCAGAUUCAUCGUGUCACAAGAGGGAUCUGCCCAGUGUCAAGGAUGAUGUUUGAGAUUGAGGCUUCAGGUGCCACUCCUAAUAAAGGCCACAGCCUUGGAAUCAGGAUGAAGCUGGAGCCUGAAGGAGCCAGGCACGCUCAGGAGAGGACAAGUAGCUGCCUUGCAGGGAUUUGGCCCACAUAACUCUGGACUCACACUUUGGUUUUGGUUUCUUUAUUGUAGCUGACCCGAGACUAACAGGUGAUCAUGGGGCCCUCCAAGGCAGACUCAUUUCAGGUGCAGCGUGGAUUCCCAUCACCGAUCAUCCAAAAGAUAAGUCGGGGGCCACGGCCUGGAGAUGGGAGAGUAGCAGGUUGGGAAUCCCUGGGUCAGAUUUAAAAAUUGGCAGCGGGAAAAGCAAUCUUCUCCAAGGGCCUCUUAGGACGGCUAAAGGGAGAGGCUCUACUUUUGAUGGCAGCUUUCAGGCAGGCAGUGCAGAACAGCUCUGGUCUGUGUCGUGUUGUCCGGUGUGCCGUGUUCCCUAGUGUGUCUUUGGGGUCCCUUUUGCCUUCCCACCUCAAUCCCCUCACCACAAGCAUGAUGUGUCGUGUUUCUUGUCCCCCCUGUUUGUCACGUUCUGUGUCACGGGUGUGUGCACACAUUUGUGCUGGAGCUGUUCUGCCCUGCCACAUAGCCUGCUGCCGUAGUAAAAAUUCCAGAAGUAAAAAUCUUGACGCAGAAAUAUUUAAUCAAAUAUAAAAAAAUAUGAAAAAAAAGAUGUAAAAAAUAUGAAAUACUAUUUGCAUCAUAUCUAUUAUAGAAUGUAAAUUUAGUUUUAAAUUGACAUUGGUAAAGAGAAAUGUGUAAGUAAGCAAUAUACAUUAAUAUACAUUAUAAAUACAAAUAUGAAUAUAAAAAUUGAACAUUAAGAUAAAACCUAUUUAAAUUUUGUUUUAAAUAAAGGGUUGGGGUUUUUUUUAUUCUUAUUGUGUUGGAGGCAGGUUUUUUUUUUAAAUAAUAUGAAUGUAGAUAUUAUUGUCAUAUAUAUUUCUAAAUAUUGAGAUAUACAAACAAGAUAUAAAUAUAUAUAAACACAAAAUACAAAGAAACACAAAUAAUAGGAAGAGAUGUAAUGAAGAAUACAAAUAACAGUAUACAUAAGUAUACAUUUUAAAUGUACAUGUGGAUAUGAACCUGAAAAAUAGAAUUUUAAAAAAUUUUUAAAUACACUUAGGAAAAAGGGGUUCUUUUUGGCUUUAUUUUGGAUGGAGGUAAAGGUUUUAUUUUAAAUCAUCCAAGUGUUACAGAAGUAAAAAUCGUAACAGAAAUAUAUACUUACUAUGUAAAAAUAUGUAUAAAAAUACAGAAAUAAAUGUAAGUUUUAGGGAUAUAUGCAAUAUGGAAUAGAAAUGUAUUUAUAAAAAGAAAUGUAUAAAUGGACAGUGUACAUCAAUAUACAUUGUAAAUAGA